Molecule: long non-coding RNA, 606 nt
Organism: Bombus pascuorum
Lineage: Eukaryota; Metazoa; Arthropoda; Insecta; Hymenoptera; Apidae
Exons: 3
Source: RefSeq, a predicted model, not a curated record
AAUUGAACAAUUGGAAAGUAUUUACUGAUAGAAUUACUAAUAUUACUUAUAUUUUCUGAUCGUUCUGUGCCGAUUAUGCUUCGCAAUACACAGCUACAGACACGCGAAGGUCAAAGGACCUGGUUGUUCUAUUGCAGUACGGCUAACUCCCGCGAAAAGCAAUCGAUCUUUUGACCAUUAAUUGCCAUCCAUGUCGUACGGACGGCGUGGAUUGCAACAUUGAUGAGGUCGAAUAGAAACAAUUUUAAGGCACGAGUCAGCCUCAUCAAUGUUGCAGUUCCCCCAUUCGAUAUUGCCUACACGGUCGUGUAAUUUACUUCAUAAUAAUUACCAACGCAUUAAACAUUCGUAGGUAACAUGAAAGUGUCAGCUGCCGAUUGUCCCAGAGACAUUAGAAACGCGUAGGGAAACUUAAGCUUUCUGAAAAUAUGAGAGCCUCUGCCAAAUAGAUCGGCCAAACAGUGAAUAAAAUACGAAUUAGGAAUAAUACGAAGCACGCUAUUAAUAUAAUAUAAAGGUAGUAAGGUAAUUCCUUUCCAGCAAACAGACUAAAUAGGAUUGUCGGUUUUAAAGUAGCGCCAGAAAGUGCAGUUUCAACUGCAUAUA